UGGGGAAUAUUGGACAAUGGGGGCAACCCUGAUCCAGCCAUGCCGCGUGUGUGAAGAAGGCCUUUUGGUUGUAAAGCACUUUAAGCAGGGAGGAGAGGCUAAUGGUUAAUACCCAUUAGAUUAGACGUUACCUGCAGAAUAAGCACCGGCUAACUCUGUGCCAGCAGCCGCGGUAAUACAGAGGGUGCGAGCGUUAAUCGGAAUUACUGGGCGUAAAGCGAGUGUAGGUGGCUCAUUAAGUCACAUGUGAAAUCCCCGGGCUUAACCUGGGAACUGCAUGUGAUACUGGUGGUGCUAGAAUAUGUGAGAGGGAAGUAGAAUUCCCAGGUGUAGCGGUGAAAUGCGUAGAGAUCUGGAGGAAUACCGAUGGCGAAGGCAGCUUCCUGGCAUAAUAUUGACACUGAGAUUCGAAAGCGUGGGUAGCAAACAGGAUUAGAUACCCUGGUAGUCCACGCCGUAAACGAUGUCUACUAGCCGUUGGGGUCCUUGAGACUUUAGUGGCGCAGUUAACGCGAUAAGUAGACCGCCUGGGGGAGUACGGCCGCAAGGUUAAAACUUAAAUGAAUUGACGGGGUCAUAGCUGUUUCCU
Molecule: ribosomal RNA, 589 nt
Filed under: uncultured bacterium
Lineage: Bacteria
Description: partial 16S ribosomal RNA
Rfam family: Bacterial small subunit ribosomal RNA
Source: RNAcentral